RNAcentral lists this unclassified non-coding RNA (870 nucleotides) under Hevea brasiliensis (rubber tree). The record is from RNAcentral. Lineage: Eukaryota; Viridiplantae; Streptophyta; Magnoliopsida; Malpighiales; Euphorbiaceae.
UCACCCGUUGCCCUAGUCCUUCAAUUCUGCGCCAUGGUCCUUCUUCUUCUUCUUCUUCUUCUUCCUUUGGGGUUCUUUUUAUUUUUUUUAUUUUUCCCUCUACUGGAGGGAAAAGAAAAGGGUGCAAAACCCCGUUAUAUCUAUUAAUUAAAUCAAUCUUAAAUAGAAAAUAUGUAAAGCCUUUUACAUCAAUUCUUGAAAUAAAUAGUAGAAAAUUCUGAAUCGCAAGUGCUCUAUGGUGAAGUAAGCAACUGAAAUCAACAAUUUCAGGUAGCCAGAGCUGUCGUCUUCAGACCCACCGUACCCAAUACCAAAUAAUGUGCGAUGUCAAAGUAAAAAUGAAAAUCAUUCAAGUUUCGUCUUCACUGUCUGAAAGUAGGCAAUCUUGAAUUUGCUGCCUCAGCAUACUGGAAUUGUCACAGCUGCCAUGCUUCACCCGGGCAACCAUUUGUUGGGGUAAAGACAAAUAGAAAUGUUCCAUUGAUGAGGAAUCCUUGGGGAGUAUCUGAAAACGGCAACUUGAACAACAGGCACCACCAAAUCUUGAACUUUGGCAACCUUCGGGUUUGUUCGAACUCGAUAAAUCAGAAUUUCUGAGAGGACUAUUGCAAAGAGGACAGAAUGACUCCGAGGACAUAGAUUCCAUGGGCUUGAGAUUGUAUCUCUUCUGACGCCUUCGAGUAGCCAAAGGAACAGUACAAUCACUGAUUUCAGGAAUUCUAUUAAAAUGGAAUGGAGUAAGCUUUCCAGCUGUUCGUACAAUCGUACACUCUCGAGAAGGAUUUUCUUCCUGCAAAAGAGUUACAAAUGAAGACACCAAACCAUUGAUUCCAGCGGGAGGGCUAUUAGGUAACUGCAAGGUCUUUAGAC